GGGGAUUUAGCUCAGUUGCAUAAGUACCUGCCUUGGAAGCAGGCAGCCGUGGGUUCAAUCCCCA
Cavia porcellus (domestic guinea pig) is the source of this 64-nucleotide transfer RNA. It matches the Rfam family "tRNA". Rfam says of the family: Transfer RNA (tRNA) molecules are approximately 80 nucleotides in length. Their secondary structure includes four short double-helical elements and three loops (D, anti-codon, and T loops). Further hydrogen bonds mediate the characteristic L-shaped molecular structure. tRNAs have two regions of fundamental functional importance: the anti-codon, which is responsible for specific mRNA codon recognition, and the 3' end, to which the tRNAs corresponding amino acid is attached (by aminoacyl-tRNA synthetases). tRNAs cope with the degeneracy of the genetic code in two manners: having more than one tRNA (with a specific anti-codon) for a particular amino acid; and 'wobble' base-pairing, i.e. permitting non-standard base-pairing at the 3rd anti-codon position. The record is from Rfam. NCBI's taxonomy places the organism in Eukaryota, Metazoa, Chordata, Mammalia, Rodentia, Caviidae.